AGAGUUUGAUCCUGGCUCAGAGCGAACGCUGGCGGCGUGCCUAACACAUGCAAGUCGAGCGAGAAAGGGGGCUUCGGCCCCUCAGUACAGCGGCGAACGGGUGCGUAACACGUGGGUGAUCUGUCCCCAAGACGGGGAUAACUCAGCGAAAGUUGGGCUAAUACCGGAUAAGACCACAAGAGGAAACUCUCGGGGUCAAAGGGUGCUUUCUUUUGGGAGCACUCGCUGGAGGAGGAGCCCGCGACCUAUCAGCUUGUUGGUAGGGUAACGGCCUACCAAGGCAAAGACGGGUAGCUGGUCUGAGAGGAUGACCAGCCACACGGGGACUGAGACACGGCCCCGACUCCUACGGGAGGCAGCAGUGGGGAAUAUUGGGCAAUGGGGGAAACCCUGACCCAGCGACGCCGCGUGGGUGAUGAAGGCCUUCGGGUCGUAAAGCCCUGUCGGGAGGGACGAAUGAUUCUGUGGUAAACAGCCGCAGGAUGUGACGGUACCUCCGAAGGAAGCACCGGCCAACUCCGUGCCAGCAGCCGCGGUAAGACGGAGGGUGCAAGCGUUGCUCGGAAUCACUGGGCGUAAAGGGUGCGUAGGCGGUCUCUCAAGUCUGACGUGAAAGCCCAGGGCUCAGCCCUGGAAGUGCGCCAGAAACUGAGAGGCUUGAGUGCCGGAGGGGAGAGUGGAAUUCCCGGUGUAGCGGUGAAAUGCGUAGAUAUCGGGAGGAAUACCGGUGGCGAAAGCGACUCUCUGGACGGCAACUGACGCUGAGGCACGAAAGCGUGGGGAGCAAAC
RNAcentral lists this ribosomal RNA (789 nucleotides) under uncultured bacterium. RNAcentral's name for it is "bacterial SSU rRNA". It matches the Rfam family "Bacterial small subunit ribosomal RNA", at positions 8 to 773 of the family's 1533-position model. The record is from RNAcentral.